This is a long non-coding RNA of Lolium rigidum, 617 nucleotides long. RefSeq lists it as uncharacterized. The transcript is spliced from 5 exons. NCBI's taxonomy places the organism in Eukaryota, Viridiplantae, Streptophyta, Magnoliopsida, Poales, Poaceae. The record is from RefSeq and is a predicted model, not a curated record.
UUCCUCUCCUCGAGUUCGCGCGGCCAUGGGGGCGUGGAGGAGGCUGCCGAUGGCGCUACUGCUGCUGCACGAUUCGUCGGUAUGACAAGAACGUGAGUCCUCCAGCAAGCGUUGGGUGCCAUUUACAGUGUUCCUCCUACCGUGAGGAGGCAAAGGGAUCAGUAUAGGCCGGGUUUUCCACAUCAUUUGUAUAUAAGCAAAGCAACUCUCACGCUCAACGAUUCCGCGAGGCCUCCGAUUCAGCGAGGACAGGUGGUUGCAGAGCAUCAGCAGCGUGGCUACAUGGAGGACGAGGCGUCGCUGGUUUGGUUAAAAGGAGCCGACAAGGAAUUGGAGAAGAAGGCACCUAACCGAGCAUAAUACAUAUCUUAUAUAUAGCAUAAUUUUAUCCAGAAGGAAGAUGAGCGGCCAAAGGAAAAGGAAAAAAGGGAAGCCACAUGCAAUAGAUAAUGUCAUGGAGGAACUGAGGUUGGAGAAAAAGCGUCGAGAAAAGAACGUGUCAGCCGACGCGGUGACGCCUCCAUGGUGUUGUACGACUAUGAGCUGAAGAUUGGGUGGGUCAAAUAUGUUGCUCUUCCAUCACAAGUACUGCCUGGUCCUCCUCCGGGACAUAUGGC